This 836-nucleotide long non-coding RNA is filed under the name Eucalyptus grandis. RNAcentral's name for it is "long non-coding RNA (EGRA_LNC000672)". Lineage: Eukaryota; Viridiplantae; Streptophyta; Magnoliopsida; Myrtales; Myrtaceae. The record is from RNAcentral.
AGAAUCCUCAUCCAAAUUAGGACCUUUGUAUGGGCUACGGAGCAAUGUGACGCUCGAUCUUCGUGAAGGAUUUUGUGUGUUGUAAUUGGGACUUGUUAAUUGGGUCUUAUAGUUGAUAUUCUGUGAUGAGCUUGCAGCCGGAUGCUCACCUGAUUUGUGGUUUUGCUGUGAAGAAAAUCUGAAUUACUUUUGGAAAAAAAAUAAUCUGGAAGGAUUGGUAACAUUCUCGCUGUUUGAACAGAUAUCAGCUUCAUUGAUUUCCUGUGCUGCAUCAGUGGGGAUGGGCCUGCUUUUCACUUGGCUGUUGUCUAUGCCGUGGGUAUGGGCCUGCUUUUCACUUGGCUGUUGUCUAUGCCUAAUAUAAAGCCACAUAUGGGUACCUUAAUGAGUGUAACACAGGACCAUAGAAAAAAUAGUGUUAUGUAGUGCCGAUGAGUGUUAUACCAUAUCAGGAAAUAUAUUCAUGUGCAUUGUUAUUGUCGUCUCUCCAUCGUGCUAUUAUUUUGGUCUCAAGUCUCUCAAAUGAUUGGUGUUAAUGAGAUUCAGCUAGUUUGAACAGGUACCUGAGAUAAUGGAUUUUGAGAUUUUCUCGCUUCUCCAUUUGACAUUUUGUACAUUUCACUUGUCAUGCUCAUGUGUAUACCACUAGUGUAGGGUUGCAUUGCUCCAUGUGUUGUCUUCCAUCAUUUUUCACAGUGCAGUGUCUUGAAUAAAUCAUGAUGUUCUCCAUCAACUUGCCUUGAUACCAGCAUGGCUUGUUGACAUAGUGCAGCAGAGCUUUUAGUAAGCCUCUAAAGAGGUGCGUGGUAUGGAAUAGCUAUUCUUGUUGAAAAUAG